GCAUAUCAAUAAGCGGAGGAAAAGAAACCAACAGGGAUUGCCCCAGUAACGGCGAGUGAAGCGGCAACAGCUCAAAUUUGAAAUCUGGCUCUCGGGCCCGAGUUGUAAUUUGUAGAGGAUGCUUUUGGUGAGGUGCCUUCCGAGUUCCCUGGAACGGGACGCCAUAGAGGGUGAGAGCCCCGUCUGGUUGGACGCCGAACCUCUGUAAAGCUCCUUCGACGAGUCGAGUAGUUUGGGAAUGCUGCUCUAAAUGGGAGGUAUAUGUCUUCUAAAGCUAAAUACCGGCCAGAGACCGAUAGCGCACAAGUAGAGUGAUCGAAAGAUGAAAAGAACUUUGAAAAGAGAGUUAAACAGUACGUGAAAUUGUUGAAAGGGAAGCGCUUGUGACCAGACUUGGGCUUGGUUGAUCAUCCGGGGUUCUCCCCGGUGCACUCUUCCGGCCCAGGCCAGCAUCAGUUCGCCCUGGGGGACAAAGGCUUCGGGAACGUGGCUCUCUCCGGGGAGUGUUAUAGCCCGUUGCGUAAUACCCUGUGGCGGACUGAGGUUCGCGCAUUCGCAAGGAUGCUGGCGUAAUGGUCAUCAGUGACCCGUCUUGAAACACGGACC
This 606-nucleotide non-coding RNA is filed under the name Fusarium petroliphilum. RNAcentral describes it as "eukaryotic LSU rRNA". It matches the Rfam family "Eukaryotic large subunit ribosomal RNA", at positions 38 to 667 of the family's 3401-position model. RNAcentral also lists the same sequence under 1 other name. The record is from RNAcentral. Lineage: Eukaryota; Fungi; Ascomycota; Sordariomycetes; Hypocreales; Nectriaceae.